AUUGAACGCUGGCGGCAUGCCUUACACAUGCAAGUCGAACGGCAGCACGGACUUCGGUCUGGUGGCGAGUGGCGAACGGGUGAGUAAUGUAUCGGAACGUACCUUUCAGUGGGGGAUAACGUAGCGAAAGUUACGCUAAUACCGCAUAUUCUGUGAGCAGGAAAGCAGGGGAUCGAAAGACCUUGCGCUGAUUGAGCGGCCGAUAUCAGAUUAGCUAGUUGGUGGGGUAAAGGCCUACCAAGGCGACGAUCUGUAGCGGGUCUGAGAGGAUGAUCCGCCACACUGGAACUGAGACACGGUCCAGACUCCUACGGGAGGCAGCAGUGGGGAAUUUUGGACAAGGGGGGCAACCCUGAUCCAGCCAUGCCGCGUGAGUGAAGAAGGCCUGCGGGUUGUAAAGCUCUUUCGGCCGGGAAGAAAUCGCAUAGGCUAAUACCCUGUGUGGAUGACGGUACCGGAAUAAGAAGCACCGGCUAACUACGU
Molecule: ribosomal RNA, 483 nt
Filed under: uncultured bacterium
Lineage: Bacteria
Description: partial 16S ribosomal RNA
Rfam family: Bacterial small subunit ribosomal RNA
Source: RNAcentral